GAUGAACGCUGGCGGCGUGCCUAAUACAUGCAAGUCGAGCGAACGGACGAGAAGCUUGCUUCUCUGAUGUUAGCGGCGGACGGGUGAGUAACACGUGGAUAACCUACCUAUAAGACUGGGAUAACUUCGGGAAACCGGAGCUAAUACCGGAUAAUAUUUUGAGCCGCAUGGUUCAAAAGUGAAAGACGGUCUUGCUGUCACUUAUAGAUGGAUCCGCGCUGCAUUAGCUAGUUGGUAAGGUAACGGCUUACCAAGGCAACGAUGCAUAGCCGACCUGAGAGGGUGAUCGGCCACACUGGAACUGAGACACGGUCCAGACUCCUACGGGAGGCAGCAGUAGGGAAUCUUCCGCAAUGGGCGAAAGCCUGACGGAGCAACGCCGCGUGAGUGAUGAAGGUCUUCGGAUCGUAAAACUCUGUUAUUAGGGAAGAACAUAUGUGUAAGUAACUGUGCACAUCUUGACGGUACCUAAUCAGAAAGCCACGGCUAACUACGUGCCAGCAGCCGCGGUAAUACGUAGGUGGCAAGCGUUAUCCGGAAUUAUUGGGCGUAAAGCGCGCGUAAGGCGGUUUUUUAGUCUGAUGUGAAAGCCCACGGCUCAACCGUGGAGGGUCAUUGGAAACUGGAAAACUUGAGUGCAGAAGAGGAAAGUGGAAUUCCAUGUGUAGCGGUGAAAUGCGCAGAGAUAUGGAGGAACACCAGUGGCGAAGGCGACUUUCUGGUCUGUAACUGACGCUGAUGUGCGAAAGCGUGGGGAUCAAACAGGAUUAGAUACCCUGGUAGUCCACGCCGUAAACGAUGAGUGCUAAGUGUUAGGGGGUUUCCGCCCCUUAGUGCUGCAGCUAACGCAUUAAGCACUCCGCCUGGGGAGUACGACCGCAAGGUUGAAACUCAAAGGAAUUGACGGGGACCCGCACAAGCGGUGGAGCAUGUGGUUUAAUUCGAAGCAACGCGAAGGACCUUACCAAAUCUUGACAUCCUUUGACAACUCUAGAGAUAGAGCCUUCCCCUUCGGGGGACAAAGUGACAGGUGGUGCAUGGUUGUCGUCAGCUCGUGUCGUGAGAUGUUGGGUUAAGUCCCGCAACGAGCGCAACCCUUAAGCUUAGUUGCCAUCAUUAAGUUGGGCACUCUAAGUUGACUGCCGGUGACAAACCGGAGGAAGGUGGGGAUGACGUCAAAUCAUCAUGCCCCUUAUGAUUUGGGCUACACACGUGCUACAAUGGACAAUACAAAGGGCAGCGAAACCGCGAGGUCAAGCAAAUCCCAUAAAGUUGUUCUCAGUUCGGAUUGUAGUCUGCAACUCGACUACAUGAAGCUGGAAUCGCUAGUAAUCGUAGAUCAGCAUGCUACGGUGAAUACGUUCCCGGGUCU
Molecule: ribosomal RNA, 1372 nt
Filed under: uncultured bacterium
Lineage: Bacteria
Description: bacterial SSU rRNA
Rfam family: Bacterial small subunit ribosomal RNA
Source: RNAcentral